This is a long non-coding RNA of Pristis pectinata (smalltooth sawfish), 333 nucleotides long. RefSeq lists it as uncharacterized. NCBI's taxonomy places the organism in Eukaryota, Metazoa, Chordata, Chondrichthyes, Rhinopristiformes, Pristidae. The record is from RefSeq and is a predicted model, not a curated record. The transcript is spliced from 3 exons.
UGCUCGGCCCACUUUGUGUUCCUCCAAGCGGUUUCACUUUUGCUCCACUUCCCGGCCUCCUGCGCUUGUGAACGACGAGUUUGGGCAGAGGCGUCAAGCUCUGCUGUUCAGCUUUCUGGUCUGUGUUUGCCUGUGAAAAGGUCUGGAGACGAGCAUUCCUGGCGAAAGCUAAAUUGGGCAUCAGCGGCACGUUAACAACAGACAAACCAGCUACUUGGUGGUAUCAACCUUAGCAGUUCAAACAAGACUACCCGCCCAAGGAGAAAAAAGUACAUCAAAUCUAUUCAACACCAGGAUGGAAGCACUUUCGUUGGAAGGGACCGUGAACAUGGG